Molecule: transfer RNA, 73 nt
Filed under: Euglena gracilis
Lineage: Eukaryota; Euglenozoa; Euglenophyceae; Euglenales; Euglenaceae
Description: partial tRNA-Gln
Rfam family: tRNA
About the family: Transfer RNA (tRNA) molecules are approximately 80 nucleotides in length. Their secondary structure includes four short double-helical elements and three loops (D, anti-codon, and T loops). Further hydrogen bonds mediate the characteristic L-shaped molecular structure. tRNAs have two regions of fundamental functional importance: the anti-codon, which is responsible for specific mRNA codon recognition, and the 3' end, to which the tRNAs corresponding amino acid is attached (by aminoacyl-tRNA synthetases). tRNAs cope with the degeneracy of the genetic code in two manners: having more than one tRNA (with a specific anti-codon) for a particular amino acid; and 'wobble' base-pairing, i.e. permitting non-standard base-pairing at the 3rd anti-codon position.
Source: RNAcentral
GCUCCCAUAGUGUAGUGGUCAGCACCCAGGACUUUGAAUCCUGUGACCCCGGUUCGAGUCCGGGUGGAGUGCC